UGCCAGACUCCUACGGGAGGCAGCAGUGAGGAAUAUUGGUCAAUGGGCGCGAGCCUGAACCAGCCAAGUCGCGUGAGGGAGGACGGCCCUACGGGUUGUAAACCUCUUUUGCCGGGGAGCAACGGGCGUCACGUGUGGCGCCACUGAGAGUACCCGGAGAAAAAGCAUCGGCUAACUCCGUGCCAGCAGCCGCGGUAAUACGGAGGAUGCGAGCGUUAUCCGGAUUUAUUGGGUUUAAAGGGUGCGUAGGCGGGCUGUUAAGUCAGCGGUCAAAUGUCGGGGCUCAACCCCGGCCUGCCGUUGAAACUGGCGGCCUCGAGUGGGCGAGAAGUAUGCGGAAUGCGUGGUGUAGCGGUGAAAUGCAUAGAUAUCACGCAGAACUCCGAUUGCGAAGGCAGCAUACCGGCGCCCUACUGACGCUGAGGCACGAAAGCGUGGGUAUCGAACAGGAUUAGGUACCCCAGUA
This 466-nucleotide ribosomal RNA is filed under the name uncultured bacterium. RNAcentral's name for it is "bacterial SSU rRNA". It matches the Rfam family "Bacterial small subunit ribosomal RNA", at positions 329 to 792 of the family's 1533-position model. The record is from RNAcentral.